Long non-coding RNA from Planococcus citri (citrus mealybug), 3219 nucleotides. RefSeq lists it as uncharacterized. The transcript has 3 exons. Lineage: Eukaryota; Metazoa; Arthropoda; Insecta; Hemiptera; Pseudococcidae. The record is from RefSeq and is a predicted model, not a curated record.
GUUGCCAAUGAUGGGAGGAUAAGAAUAUUUCCCUAGUAGGUCAGGAUGAAUCUAACUCCCUAAGAGAUGUAAUAUAUCACCUUUUAAAACAGUACUUACCCGCUGCUAGCUCAGCUCUUACAACACCAAUAUGUAUAAAUUUAAACAGAUUUAGUCGAGUUUACCUUGUAUUAAUUCGAACCGCACGCGAAAUAAGAACACACGAUAAACACGAAUAGUGUAUUAUAAUUUUGGAAUAAAAUUACAACACGAAACUUAAGUCUAAAACAUAUAAAACUCUACGCGUAUAACCAAUAUAUAUUCCACCAAAUAGUGGCGUAAGUAGGAUCGCUUUUACCCACCUACGUGUAACUAUCAAAUUGCCCGCGUUGGGUAGCGAAUUUAGGACUUAAGUUUAAACGCGAAUACUCUCCCUUAAACACGAACGUUAAGGCAGAGGACCUGGGACUCAAGCACAACUCUUACGUAGGAGUGAGUGGCCUUAUUACUUUUCCGCGGUCAGACCUACCAGACGAAGCGCGAAUCGACAAGUGAAGAUCAAUUCCAUCUCAACUUGGCUUCUAGCCUCGAGUCGAGAAGGAAUUGAGCUUUACGAACUUGUGAGCUUUUCACAUCUGCCCUUAAUGGAACGAUGUGAAAACAUCUCUUGGGUGGUUCCCACGUACUUAACACCUUACCUAAGUGCAUCGAGUAUAUGCUUUCAUCUACGUAAAGUACUGUAGAAUCGAACUAUUGAUUGGAUUCUCCAGUACUUCCUUUAGAUGAAAGAUUUAUAAUCCCACUGAGAGAGAUACGAUGAAUAUCCCUGUCUAGCCAGUGAAGGCAUAUUGUCCCCUUACAUUUGCCCCUAACGUGGGUUUACUUCUAAAGUAUCCCCUGAGGAAAUGUAGAGGAAAGCACGGAAAUUUUGAAAAAAGGUGACAUUGUGCUUCACUGGAUGUGACCCUAUUGCCCCCCGUACUUUGCUUGAGUGAUGCGGGGAAUAGUAAUCCCAAAAUAAAUUUUGAAACUCUUUGGUUUUUAUUAUAAUUCCAAAAGUGAGGUGAAUUUUGAGUGUGCUGGUGAGUUGACUCUUACUGACCAAGAGUAACAACAAUUGAUCAUCAAUAUUUGACCGAAGUCGAAGAUAUCAAUAAACCAAUCAGAUGCUACCUUUGAUCUGGUCACUCCACAGCAGGGUCAUGGCCGAAAUGGUAAGUAUUUAAGUACGAUUUAAUCUUUGAGGGGGAGGGUUAAUCUAAAAGGUACCCUUCCUCAAUUUUAUGAUUUCAGGAGAAGAUGAAAAAAGCUCAAGAAGUUCGUGGUUGUUUGGCUUUGUUGUCUUUGGAUAAUCUGACCAAGAAUUUUUGAAGAAAAAAUUGCUGGUAAGGUUGGCUUGAGUAUAGCUAUUGUUUUUACUAAAAAUUUUGAAAAAUGGAUGAUUUUCUAUUGGAAAAUCAUUCAUUGAAUGAUUUGAGUAGAGUUUUUAUAGUUUAAUAAAAAAAAAAUUGAAAAAAGAAAAAGUUCAAAAAAUUUUAAAAAAAAAUUCUAAAGGAAAAAUUUUAUCAAAGUUUGAUGUAAUAUUUGAGCAUUUGAAAUGUUCAAAACUGAUCAUUGAUAAGAAAAAAAGAAAAAAAAAGAAAAUUAAAAAAAUUUGAAAAAACUUUGAAGAAAGUGAGUUAUUUUUCUAUUAGAAAAAUUGUCAUUUCUUCAAAAUCCAAAAAAGAAUUGUUUUUUAGGGAAGUUUGAAAAAUGAAAAAAAUUAUUGCGGAAAAAUGAAUUGUUUUUCUAUUUGAAAAAGUGUUCAUUUUUCAAAAAAAAAAUUAAAAUUUUGGCAUUUGGAUUUUCUGAUAGAGGGCUAAGUUUUUAGAAAAAAUUGCGCUACCUUUCUGUUGUACACGGAGUUCGGUUGAAAGCGAAAUUACUUACCACCACUAUUCGAUGAAACAUAAAACAAAUUAGAAAAAAUUUUGAAAAAAUUUAAAAAAGUUUAAAAGGAAAAUAAAUUUUUAAGAAAAAUUAUAAAAAUAAAUAGGAAUGUACCUAAACAAACUUAAUUCUAAGCAACGUUGUUUUUCUUCUUUUUUAUUUGUUUAACGUUGUUUUAUAGUUAAUUAAGAAUAAAUUAAUUUCUAGUCAGUCUUAUUCCUCAUAGUUAAUUUCAAGUUUUUUCUUCUUCUUUACAGGUGUAUUUUGGUCAACGACGAUGACAAGAGAAUUACUUUGUUUAUCAAAAACUAAAGAUAAGUACAAAAACAUAUUUACAUUUUUAUUAAAUAAUGUAAAAUUUAAGAGCAUUUUUGUUUCUUAGGAUUAAUCAGUCUAAUUUAAACACAUGAUCGAUUUAAAAUAUCUGUACAUUUUUUAUUUCUAAAAAAAAAUUUUAAAGUUAUGAAAUAAAUUAAAUAAAAAAUGUUGUUUUUGUUUAGGACCAGUUCAGAGAAAGAUGGGUGAAACUUAAAAUAGGAUUGAGCCAAAGUUGAACCAGUCUGUUGGGAUAUUUUUCGUAUUUACAAUAAGUAAGAAGACAAAGAAGAUUUCCUUAACUAAUAAUGCACAGAUCCUUUUUCUUGGCUCAUGGACUUCUUUUCCAGGAAGACAAAGAUAGCUAGAUUUUUGAAAGGAAUGUUAUCCGUCUACGGUCUGAGUCAACAUGGCCUUCUGUGCCCUGAAUGUGAUAUCUUUGUUAAAAAAUAAAAAAAAUUAAAAAAGAAUUUUAAAAACAAUAAAAUUAAAAUUUUUGUAAAUUUUUGGAAAAAACUUUUUGAAUUUGAAUUUUUUGAUUCUGUAAACGUAUUUUACGUUAAUAUAAGUUUGUAUAAAAAAAAAUAAAAAAAAUGAUUGUAAACAUUCAAAAAAUAAAUUGAAUUUAUUUUAAGUUUGUAAAAAAAAUUUACAUACAUGUAUUAUUGUAUUGUAGUUUUGGAGUACAAAUUUUGUAUGUUUGUAAAAAAAAUUUAAAAAAAAAAUAUUUUGUGCUAUUUUAUAACCUAAUUAUACAAAUGUAUAGAUAAAUUAAUGCGUAGAGUUUUUUGUAAUGAGAAAAAAAAAAUUAUCAAUAAAUAUUCAAUAAAUUACAUCUUAACUUUAUUUACAUUUUUGUAUGUUCAUUUUUUCUGCUCUACGGGUCGUUUUAAUGGUCGGAUCGAUGAAUGGAAAAUGGAAUUUAGGUUGACACAGUUUUUUAGGUGGUUUUGGCGGUUACUAGGUUACUGGUGAAGGUCGUGAGCGUAACGGUAC